GCAAGCAUCAAGCAGGCUGGAUUAUUUUCACUGGUAACAAGGAGAGAUUCAACCAGAGAAGCAAGAAGAAGGAGUAAGGAAAGCAGCCACACCAAUGUGGGAAGAUGGGUGCUCCUGUAAGUUUGGUGCUGAACAAGGAUGAAAUAGAGUUAUGAAUGAACAUGUGCAAAACUAGCCUGAAUUGGAAAUAGAUAAAUCUCUUUCACCAGGUGAGGCUGUCGACGUGCUGAAUCGAUGUCUGGCUGCGACAAUGGACUGGAUGAGAGCUAACAAACUGAGGCUUAAUCCAGACAAGACUGAGAUGCUGCUGGUGGGUGGUUCUCCUGACCAGAUGGUGGAUGUUCGACCUGUUCUGGAUGGGGUUGCACUCCCCCUGAAUGCUCAGAUUCGUAGCUUGGGAGUUCUUUUAGAUCCAUCCCUGUCGCUGGAGGCUCAGAUAGCCUCAGUGGCAUGGGGUGCUUUUUACCAACUUUGGCUGGUGGCCCAGCUACGUCCCUAUCUGGAUAGAGAGAACCUCGCUUCAGUAGUUCAUGCGCUGGUAACCUCGAAAUUAGAUUACUGCAAUGCGCUCUACGUGGGGCUGCCUUUGAAGACGGUUCGGAAACUGCAGCUUGUGCAGAAUGCAGCGGCCAGAUU
Rhineura floridana is the source of this 636-nucleotide long non-coding RNA. RefSeq lists it as uncharacterized. The record is from RefSeq and is a predicted model, not a curated record. Lineage: Eukaryota; Metazoa; Chordata; Lepidosauria; Squamata; Rhineuridae. The transcript has 4 exons.